UGGUCACAUAUCGCUCAGACUGUUUCCAGAACUUUCUUCUUUCAUUUGAAGGGGAAGUUUGUUGAUAAUAGCUUAGAGUGAGACCUCAUUCCAUUGAAGGCAGCUGCCUGCGGUGGUGGAAAGAGAACUGAGGCUGGAGUCAGAACAUAGAGCUUCUUGUCCUGCUGCUGUGGCUUUGGGGAAAGUUGCUGUCCUUCUCUUGACCUCAGUUUUGCUUCCAGCUUACGAUUUCCAAGAGAGAAGUGUUUAAUUCUUGGCUAACAGGGCAAAGUGCUCACGGACCUCAUCCCUACACUGGUGGCUGGUAAGAAGCAUGGAGAAUAAACAGGAAGCCACAACUCACAGGGUUCCCAGCCUAUCAAAAAGGGCGGUUCACAUCCGAUGACUGAUCCAUGGAAAGAUAUUGAGGCCUGAACCCCUUUCCCCAUCUGGAACAACUCUGAAGGCUCACUCCAUAUUCACAUUUCCCAUGGCAUCAGAGAUGAACAUGCUGCCUAGAGGAGUGGGAAACCAGCCAGAUACCCUCGUCCUGGUUUGAUCUUGCCUCACUGAAGGCACAUGACACGGAAGACCACAGUGUGAAGGACUCUGAAAUAAUCAAAGCAAAUGGCAUCGUUUCAUGGAAGUGCCUGGCACAUAGAAGAUGCAGAAUAAGAAGUUUAUAAACAAAUGAAAGGCUGAGCUGAGACAAGACGAGAGGCUUCAGGACCAGGCAGCCACAUAGAGAAGCCACCGAAGGCCUAUUCCUUGCCAGUCACACCACAUGAGUGAUGUUAUGGAAGAAAAGAAAACUGGAGCUCUGAGAGGAGUCUUGUUCUGUCACCCAGGCUGAUGUGCAGUGGCACAAUCAUGGCUCACUG
Molecule: long non-coding RNA, 860 nt
Organism: Piliocolobus tephrosceles (Ugandan red Colobus)
Lineage: Eukaryota; Metazoa; Chordata; Mammalia; Primates; Cercopithecidae
Exons: 6
Source: RefSeq, a predicted model, not a curated record